Molecule: long non-coding RNA, 493 nt
Filed under: Rattus norvegicus (Norway rat)
Lineage: Eukaryota; Metazoa; Chordata; Mammalia; Rodentia; Muridae
Description: long non-coding RNA NONRATT021028
Source: RNAcentral
AGUGACCAGCAUCUCAGCCAGAGGCUGCAGCCUGAAUCAACUCCUGGUGAGUGACACUGAGCAGAGAGAGACUUCUGCAUGCCCAGUUUGAAAGCCGUCCUAAAACACGGGUGUGACUACUGCACGGGGAUCUACAUAAAUCCGUGGCAGCUGCUGAGAUACAGGGUGUUUUGUAGCCCAGAAUGAACUGGAACUCAUUGUGUAUGGGAGCACGUGCCACCUGGUUUUUUGUGGUUCUGGGACCCAAGCCCAUGACUUCGUGAGUUUGCAAACCAGGUUUUCUAAUUCGUCACAAUAAAGGACAAUUGUCGGGUGCGUGUGCUGGAGGAGAUACAGUGGCCGUGACAGAGGAAGAAGGAUGCCUAUCUCCUUCCACCUGAUUCUCCUGGACGAGGUCUCCCCCUGAACCCGAAGCUCAUUGAUUUAUGACUACGCUGAGCUGGAAAACCAGGGGUGUCACAGCAUCCGAAGACAUUAGACACCAAAUUCCAUC